This 279-nucleotide ribosomal RNA is filed under the name uncultured bacterium. RNAcentral describes it as "partial 16S ribosomal RNA". It matches the Rfam family "Bacterial small subunit ribosomal RNA", at positions 506 to 784 of the family's 1533-position model. The record is from RNAcentral.
UGCCAGCAGCCGCGGUAAUACGAAGGGGGCUAGCGUUGUUCGGAAUUACUGGGCGUAAAGCGCGCGUAGGUGGAUGUGCAAGUCAGGGGUGAAAUCCCGGGGCUCAACCCCGGAACUGCCUCUGAAACUGCGCAUCUUGAGUCUCGGAGGGGAUGGUGGAAUUUCUAAUGUAGCGGUGAAAUGCGUAGAGAUUAGAAGGAACACCGGUGGCGAAGGCGACCAUCUGGACGAGUACUGACACUGAGGUGCGAAAGCGUGGGGAGCAAACAGGAUUAGAUA